Molecule: transfer RNA, 75 nt
Filed under: Promethearchaeota archaeon
Lineage: Archaea; Promethearchaeati; Promethearchaeota
Description: Candidatus Lokiarchaeota archaeon (permafrost metagenome) tRNA-Arg
Rfam family: tRNA
About the family: Transfer RNA (tRNA) molecules are approximately 80 nucleotides in length. Their secondary structure includes four short double-helical elements and three loops (D, anti-codon, and T loops). Further hydrogen bonds mediate the characteristic L-shaped molecular structure. tRNAs have two regions of fundamental functional importance: the anti-codon, which is responsible for specific mRNA codon recognition, and the 3' end, to which the tRNAs corresponding amino acid is attached (by aminoacyl-tRNA synthetases). tRNAs cope with the degeneracy of the genetic code in two manners: having more than one tRNA (with a specific anti-codon) for a particular amino acid; and 'wobble' base-pairing, i.e. permitting non-standard base-pairing at the 3rd anti-codon position.
Source: RNAcentral
GGGCCUGUAAUCUAGCAUGGAUAGGGUACCCGCCUUCGGAGCGGGAUUUCGCAGGUUCGAAUCCUGCCAGGCCCA